UACAGAGGUCCCGAGCGUUGUUCGGAUUCACUGGGCGUAAAGGGUGCGUAGGUGGCUUGAAAAGUUUGAUGUGAAAGCUCAGGGCUUAACCCUGAAAUGGCAUUGAAUACUGUCGGGCUGGAGGUUUGGAGGGGGGACUGGAAUUCUUGGUGUAGCAGUGAAAUGCGUAGAUAUCAAGAGGAACACCAGUGGCGAAGGCGGAUCUCUGGACAGCUCCUGACGCUGAGGCGCGAAGGCUAGGGGAGCAAACGGG
RNAcentral lists this ribosomal RNA (253 nucleotides) under uncultured bacterium. Its description in RNAcentral is "partial 16S ribosomal RNA". It matches the Rfam family "Bacterial small subunit ribosomal RNA", at positions 524 to 776 of the family's 1533-position model. The record is from RNAcentral.